CCUGGCUGCCAGACGUCCUUCUCUUCCCGGAUAAGAAGCAGAGGACCUUCCAGCCACCCCCGACUGGCCACAAGCGUUCCACGAGCGAAGGCGCCUGGCCACAGCCGCCCUCUGGCAUCUCCAUGAUGGGGUGCCUCCACAACUUCCUGACAGAUGGGGUCCUUGUGGAGGGUGCGUUCACUGAAGACUUCCAGGGCCUGUGGGCAGAGGUGGAGACCAUCUCCAAGGAACUGGAGCUCUUGGACAGAGAGCUGUGCCAGCUGCUGCUGAGGGGCCUGGAGGGGGUGCUGCGGGACCAGCUGGCCCUGCGAGCCUUGGAGGAGGCGGUGAGUGGGGGAGGGUGCCCGGGGCACACAAGGCCGGCCCAGCCAGCCAGGCUCAUCUGCCCUUCCCGUGCCCACAGCUGGAGCAGGGCCAGAGCCUUGGGCCGGUGGAGCCCCUGGACGGUCCAGCAGGUGCUGUCCUGGAGUGCCUGGUGUUCCCCUCCAGAAUGCUGGUGCCGGAACUCGCCAUCCCUGUUGUCUACCUGCUGGGGGCACUGACCAGUGAGUGGCCCC
This 557-nucleotide small RNA is filed under the name Pongo abelii (Sumatran orangutan). RNAcentral describes it as "retained intron". Lineage: Eukaryota; Metazoa; Chordata; Mammalia; Primates; Hominidae. The record is from RNAcentral.